UACGGGGGGAGCAAGCGUUGUCCGGAAUUAUUGGGCGUAAAGCGCACGUAGGCGGAUUUGCCAGUCAGGGGUGAAAUCCCGGGGCUCAACCUCGGAACUGCCCUUGAUACAGCAAGUCUUGAGUCCGGAAGAGGUGAGUGGAAUUCCUAGUGUAGAGGUGAAAUUCGUAGAUAUUAGGAAGAACACCAGUGGCGAAGGCGGCUCACUGGUCCGGUACUGACGCUGAGGUGCGAAAGCGUGGGGAGCAAACAGG
Molecule: ribosomal RNA, 253 nt
Filed under: uncultured bacterium
Lineage: Bacteria
Description: partial 16S ribosomal RNA
Rfam family: Bacterial small subunit ribosomal RNA
Source: RNAcentral